This 715-nucleotide ribosomal RNA is filed under the name Luteibacter sp. Its description in RNAcentral is "bacterial SSU rRNA". It matches the Rfam family "Bacterial small subunit ribosomal RNA", at positions 91 to 792 of the family's 1533-position model. Lineage: Bacteria; Pseudomonadati; Pseudomonadota; Gammaproteobacteria; Lysobacterales; Rhodanobacteraceae. The record is from RNAcentral.
GUGGGUGGCGAGUGGGGAGGGACGUAAUGCAUCGUGACCUACCAGACGUGGGGGAAAAGAAGGCAAACUUACGCUAUUACCGCAUACGUCCUACGGGGUUUGGGUUGGGAUCGCAAGACCUCGCGCGGUUGGAAGGGGCGAUGUGCGAUUAGCUUGUUGGUGAGGUAACGGCUCACCAAGGCGACGAUCGCUAGCUGGUCUGAGAGGAUGAUCAGCCACACUGGGACUGAGACACGGCCCAGACUCCUACGGGAGGCAGCAGUGGGGAAUAUUGGACAAUGGGCGCAAGCCUGAUCCAGCAAUGCCGCGUGUGUGAAGAAGGCCCUCGGGUUGUAAAGCACUUUUAUCAGGAGCGAAAUCUGCAAGGUUAAUACCUUUGCAGUCUGACGGUACCUGAGGAAUAAGCACCGGCUAACUCCGUGCCAGCAGCCGCGGUAAUACGGAGGGUGCCAGCCUUAAUCGGAAUUACUGGGCGUAAAGCGUGCGUAGGCGGUUCGUUAAGUCUGCUGUGAAAGCCCCGGGCUCAACCUGGGAAUGGCAGUGGAUACUGGCGAGCUAGAGUGUGUCAGAGGAUGGUGGAAUUCCCGGUGUAGCGGUGAAAUGCGUAAGAGAUCGGGGAGGAACAUCAGUGGCGAAGGCUGGCCAUCUGGGACAACACUGACGCUGAGGCACGUAAGCCGUGGGGAGCAAACAGGGAUUUAGAAUACCCUUGGUA